Molecule: non-coding RNA, 1372 nt
Organism: Misgurnus anguillicaudatus (oriental weatherfish)
Lineage: Eukaryota; Metazoa; Chordata; Actinopteri; Cypriniformes; Cobitidae
Source: RefSeq, a predicted model, not a curated record
GUGAGAUAGCCUGACAUGUAAAAAAUUACAUAUGCAUUUAAAUAUGAUAUUAACAGGUGAACUUUAUGUAGCAUAAAAUGUAUUACUUUGCUCUUCAUCAGGCAUCUGAAGUCUUCUUUGACUGGGCCCAGCUGAUGCUAUUGGAUAAAAAUACAUUUAAGAAAUGUAAAUAAUAUGUGGUAUCAUACCAGUUACUACAAAAACGUUCCUUACGUUCUUGUGUCACUGGCUCGUGAUGCCUCUUCUCCUCAAAGACAGGAGCUUGAGGUCUGCUUUCAGCCAUGCUUUUGACCUUCCGCUGCUUUGCCGGGUUCCUCCAUGACUUUCAACAUUGGAGAGCUCCUCUGCACGCUUGAGCGUCACUAACAAGGUCGGCAACUUGUUUAGAGGAAGAUAAAGAAGCUUAAAGGAGUAAACAUCAUGAGGAUUGAUCAGAUGGAGGCCAGUAGCAGCUUAUAAUCUGUUCAAGUAGACACAUACCCACUCACAAAGCAUUCAAAAUGUGGAACGGCUUCUAUAAGAUGGUAUAGGCUUAAAAAAUAACUACUUACAUUUCCGUUUGUCACAAUCCAUGAUCUACACACAACAGCAACUGUCUUCUCAUUUAAAAAUUCGACCACGACGUAGGUAAUCAUCUAUAAAAAUUGUAUUUUGUUAUUAAAAGUAAAUUCUCUAUAAUUAAGGCAUAUGGGCAAUUGGCUGAAAUGAUAAACUUACAACUUACUUUUUUUCCACAUGUUCAGUCAUGAUUGCUUGGGAUUUAAGUUCAGAUUUCAGUACUCUUCAAAUUGUUGUCUUUCUUGCUUUGCCAACAUAUGAACCAACAAUGCGAGAGUCACAAGGAUCCAUGUAGAGGGGAGCAGUCUUGUCGUAGACCCUGCACAGGAGAGAUUGCUUUUCCAGCCCGUCUUCUUCAAUGACCUCAAAGAAUGUCUGCUCAACUCCAAAGAAGUUGCUUGGUCUGGUGCACUUGAUUGGUUUCUCCUGUAUUCUCAUCUGCAUGUUUUGCCCUUGAAGAAGCCUCUCUGUAACCUGAGCCAGUGGAUUUCUUCCAGAGUGAACCAUUCUCUUCAGUCUCUGAUUGAAGUUUUCAAAGGCAAAAGCACUGCACACAUCAAGACCAUCAAACUGUUUUGCAACAUCUGGUGGACAUUGUACACAAGGAAACCCUCUCCAUACAGUUCUCUGCACUGCAGUACAAAAUACUUCAGGAGGUCUCUCGCAAAUUGCCAGUGUUUUCUGGUGAGUCCUGGAUUAACAAGACUGCACAUGGCUGUAGAGAAGCACAUGAAAUUGUUGUACAGUUCUUGUUUAAGAAUUCCUCUAAAAACAAUUUUUCCUGUGUACAACAUCAGUUGUCUGUACUCUGUAG